GACGAACGCUGGCGGCGUGCCUAAUACAUGCAAGUUGAGCGCUGAAGGUUGGUACUUGUACCAACUGGAUGAGCAGCGAACGGGUGAGUAACGCGUGGGGAAUCUGCCUUUGAGCGGGGGACAACAUUUGGAAACGAAUGCUAAUACCGCAUAAAAACUUUAAACACAAGUUUUAAGUUUGAAAGAUGCAAUUGCAUCACUCAAAGAUGAUCCCGCGUUGUAUUAGCUAGUUGGUGAGGUAAAGGCUCACCAAGGCGAUGAUACAUAGCCGACCUGAGAGGGUGAUCGGCCACAUUGGGACUGAGACACGGCCCAAACUCCUACGGGAGGCAGCAGUAGGGAAUCUUCGGCAAUGGACGAAAGUCUGACCGAGCAACGCCGCGUGAGUGAAGAAGGUUUUCGGAUCGUAAAACUCUGUUGGUAGAGAAGAACGUUGGUGAGAGUGGAAAGCUCAUCAAGUGACGGUAACUCCCCAGAAAGGGACGGCUAACUACGUG
Molecule: ribosomal RNA, 497 nt
Filed under: uncultured bacterium
Lineage: Bacteria
Description: partial 16S ribosomal RNA
Rfam family: Bacterial small subunit ribosomal RNA
Source: RNAcentral